AAAAAUGACUUAUACGAAAUAAUUUUCUCAAAAAUGAUUUCUGUCAUACUGAACCCACAUAUUAUUUAUGGAUAAGCUAAUUCCACCCCUAUUCUUCCACACUUUGGACUUGCUAUAAAAAAAAUCAUAUUUGGAGGUAAAGUGGAACAAGAUAAUCCUAGUGAAGCGUAGGCGACGAAAUUAAAAAUGUCUAUCAACAAGAACACAGUUACAUGGCCUCUGUUAAUGCUGGUUUUCUUUGCACUGUGCAUGAAUUCGUGGUGUGAAUAUGGUGAAGCAGCAAGAAUCUUCUUAGACUUCUCUGCAAUUCCAGUGACGGAAAGGCUGGGAGUACUAGACAGCAGCCAUCGCCGGAGCACCAGGGAGUCGCCCGGAGGGAGCUAUCCUGCCCCGGCAGCUAAUGUAAACAACCAUGUACAUCACUAGCUACUGCUUGAUGGAUUAUGUAUGUAACUGUAUCAAGAUUUAGUGACCUCUAUUUUGUUAUGGACUUCCCACUUGUAAUAAGAAGACACUGUUUUGUCUGUGUUUAAUGAAGAGAUUUUUCUAUGAAAGCAAUGCGAGUAAUUUUA
This is a long non-coding RNA of Nicotiana tabacum (common tobacco), 572 nucleotides long. RefSeq lists it as uncharacterized. The record is from RefSeq and is a predicted model, not a curated record. Lineage: Eukaryota; Viridiplantae; Streptophyta; Magnoliopsida; Solanales; Solanaceae.